Molecule: ribosomal RNA, 253 nt
Filed under: uncultured bacterium
Lineage: Bacteria
Description: partial 16S ribosomal RNA
Rfam family: Bacterial small subunit ribosomal RNA
Source: RNAcentral
UACAGAGGGUGCGAGCGUUAAUCGGAAUUACUGGGCGUAAAGCGCACGUAGGCGGCUUGGUAUGUCGGGUGUGAAAUCCCCGGGCUCAACCUGGGAACUGCAUCCGAAACUGCCUUGCUCGAGUAUGGGAGAGGGAAGUGGAAUUUCCGGUGUAGCGGUGAAAUGCGUAGAUAUCGGAAGGAACGUCAGUGGCGAAGGCGACUUCCUGGACCAAUACUGACGCUCAGGUGCGAAAGCGUGGGGAGCAAACAGG